AUAUUAUUAUAUUAUUAUAAUAUAUUAAAAAUGUUGGACAAUCCCAAACUCCAACCAAUCAAUAAUUAAUCUUUUGUCUAACUAGCAUAAAGCUAGAGUAUGAGGUGUGCUGGGCAUAUGAAGAGGUACUCAGAUCAUCCACCGAUGGCACAGUCUGAAGUCAUCUAUCCUCUGAGAUAACUCGUAUAGUAUCAACAAGGCCAUCCAU
Molecule: long non-coding RNA, 208 nt
Filed under: Elaeis guineensis (African oil palm)
Lineage: Eukaryota; Viridiplantae; Streptophyta; Magnoliopsida; Arecales; Arecaceae
Description: long non-coding RNA (EGUI_LNC071379)
Source: RNAcentral